This 292-nucleotide ribosomal RNA is filed under the name uncultured bacterium. RNAcentral describes it as "partial 16S ribosomal RNA". It matches the Rfam family "Bacterial small subunit ribosomal RNA", at positions 505 to 796 of the family's 1533-position model. The record is from RNAcentral.
GUGUCAGCCGCCGCGGUAAGACGAACCGUGCGAACGUUAUUCGGAAUCACUGGGCUUAAAGGGUGCGUAGGCUGCGAGGAGGGUGGGGUGUGAAAUCCCUCGGCUUAACCGAGGAAUUGCGCUCCAAACCGCCUUGCUGGAGUGAGACAGAGGUGAGCGGAACUAAUGGUGGAGCGGUGAAAUGCGUUGAUAUCAUUAGGAACACCAGAGGCGAAGGCGGCUCACUGGGUCUCAACUGACGCUGAUGCACGAAAGCUAGGGUAGCGAACGGGAUUAGAAACCCCUGUAGUCC